CNGCAACAUACAGAACUUCCUACUGCUC
Molecule: non-coding RNA, 28 nt
Filed under: Homo sapiens (human)
Lineage: Eukaryota; Metazoa; Chordata; Mammalia; Primates; Hominidae
Source: RNAcentral